GAAUAUGAAAAAUAUAGAGGAUUAUAUAUAACUUGGGAUAAGAUCUUAAGAGAACCCAAAUAAUCCAGAAAACCAGAGAACCCAAAUAUAGAGGUUAUGUCGUAUGCUUAUCUGCAUCCCUGUUUGUUCUGGAGUUCAUUUUUUCCUUGUGUUGGAUGUUGGUGUGUAAGGGGUGUAAUCUUUAGAAGGGUUGUUGUUCAAUGUUCUGUAUUAUGGGGCCGGGAGAUUAAGUAUGGUUGGAUGGUGGUGUUUGUUUGAGAUGUGUUGGAUUUAUGUGUUAGACCUGUGAUAGGUAUUGUUUUUCUGGCCGGGAUCGGCAGUUUUGGAUGAUUUUCUGGUGCUGCAAUGUUUUUAUUUGGAUGCGCCCAAGCUUAUAAUGGUGGCUCACAAACUUACACACCCUAACUGAUCUUGCAAAGAAACAACAAUAAACAUUGUGAUCUAUAAACAUACAUCAUAUAUUUGAAGGGAAACAGGAAGGGGAUCUCGGUUAUUGCUUUUCUCCGGUGGAAAUUUCGUAUUUUUAUUUACUAAUAGGUUAAUUGUUGUUCCUUUUUGAGUGUGUUUUUGGAUAGAUUGUUUGGAGAGAGGUUUUCUCUUUGUAUAUUUCGCUUUUUCUCAUAUAAUAUUCUUACUAGGUGCAUAGUUUAUAUCUUUAAAAAAACACCUACUCGAAUCUAA
RNAcentral lists this long non-coding RNA (681 nucleotides) under Daucus carota (carrot). Its description in RNAcentral is "long non-coding RNA (DCAR_LNC007190)". The record is from RNAcentral. Lineage: Eukaryota; Viridiplantae; Streptophyta; Magnoliopsida; Apiales; Apiaceae.